Molecule: RNA transcript, 1736 nt
Organism: Phyllopteryx taeniolatus (common seadragon)
Lineage: Eukaryota; Metazoa; Chordata; Actinopteri; Syngnathiformes; Syngnathidae
Gene name: ileal sodium/bile acid cotransporter-like
Exons: 7
Source: RefSeq, a predicted model, not a curated record
UAAGGAUUUAAAUUACGGGCCGCCGAGGACAAGCCUCCAACUGUUUCUCACAGUCGAUUGCCACGGAUAAUUCUCUUCUGCCAUCAAAUUUACAAUAUGUCUAUAUUCAAGGGAACAACUGAAGAACUUGCUGCCUGCCUUGCUGAGGCCACAAUCUGUUCUGGUGCUAACUGCCUUGUGCCAACCAAUAACUUUAAUGCAAAACUGCUGCUAGCGCUGAACAUCACCUUCACCAUCAUGCAGGCUAUUGUCAUGUGUGCCAUGGGCUGCUCUGUGGAUGUCCAAAACCUUUGGGGGCACCUGAAGAGACCUUGGAGCAUAGUUACUGGAUUCCUCUGCCAAUUUGGCAUUAUGCCUUUUACCGCCUUUGCUUUAUCAAUUGCCUUUAAUGUGCUGCCUGUUCAGGCCAUUGCCAUCGUUAUCCUAGGUUGCUGUCCUGGAGGCGUCACUUCCAAUAUUAUCUGCAGCUUUCUCGAUGGAGACAUGGACCUAAGUAUCGCUAUGACAGCCUGUUCCACCACCCUGUCCUUGGGAAUGAUGCCACUAUGUCUGUUCAUAUACACCUCCCUCUGGACUUCUUCAGACACCAUCCAAAUCCCAUAUGACAUAAUUGGUACCACUCUUACGGCCUUCCUUGUCCCAGUCUCUGUCGGAAUAUAUGUUAAACAUAGAUGGCCCCACUUGGCUAAAAAGAUCCUCAAGGUUGGGGCGAUUACAGGCUUUAGUUUCAUGGUCAUCAUUUCUGUGGUUGGGAUAAUUCUUUAUCAGUCUUCCUGGAUCAUUUCCCCCUCCCUUUGGAUAAUCGGGACUAUCUUCCCCUUAAUUGGUUUUGGGAUGGGUUUCCUUUUGGCUCGCUUUGUGGGUCAACCAUGGUACAGGUGCCGAACAAUUGCUUUGGAGACUGGUUUUCAGAACAGCCAAUUGUGUAACACCAUUGUCCAGUUGUCCUUCAACCCAGCUGAACUGGAUGUCAUGUUUGCAAUCCCCAUUAUCUAUACCAUCUUUCAGCUGGUGAUGUCUGUCCUGUUUGUGGGAGUCACACCCUGGUGGUGGUAAGCUACUUGUGUAGCCACAGCUGCCCUGCGACAAUCUGGCGGAAGUGUGGCUGCCAUUCUGCCCCUACGGCUCUUCCGACUGUGAGGCUGACACUCUAACCAGUCGUCCGCCGUGCCGCCCCCAUGCCCCAUGAUACCAAGUGUAUAAAAAGUCACAUGGUCUGGGAUCAGCUGAAACAGACAUGGAAUUGCCAACAUUUGAAGAUGGCUAUUUAGAACAAGCAAAAUAGACACCCUAUCGUGUGGAAAUAGUGCCUUUGAAUUGAAUUAUGACUGAUUAUUAAAAGCAAAGAUGAGCACUUUGACAAGAACAACACCCCGUUCUGAGAUUAUGGCUCUGAUGACUUUGUAUUUACCAAAAUGACCUCCACAAACAGGGCAACGUACAACUCCAAAUUGUGAACACAUAUAACACUGCAUGCUGUGCAACGAUUUUACUCUGUUUGGAAUUUUUGAGAGCUAUACCCACAAAUAGGUGUUCAACGAAUGAUGAAUAACGUUUUUGUUUUUAUAGAGGGACAAACUCAGAAAGUGUGGUAAGUGGUAUGGUCAUUGUGUUGUUGUUAUGAAGACCUAUCUGUCAAAAAUGGGGUAAAAAAAAUAAAUAAAAAAUACAUCGUAGAGUAAGAGCUCUUGUCCAUAUUGUGAUGAAUGCCCAAUUAAAAAAAAAAUCCAAAACUA